UACGAAGGGGGCAAGCGUUGUUCGGAAUUAUUGGGCGUAAAGGGAGCGUAGGCGGUUCGGCAAGUCUUUAGUGAAAUCUAUGGGCUCAACUCAUAGACUGCAUGAGAAACUGCCGGGCUUGAGUAUGGGAGAGGUGAGUGGAAUUCCUGGUGUAGCGGUGAAAUGCGUAGAUAUCAGGAGGAACACCUGUGGCGAAAGCGGCUCACUGGACCAUAACUGACGCUGAUGCACGAAAGCUAGGGGAGCAAACAGG
Molecule: ribosomal RNA, 253 nt
Filed under: uncultured bacterium
Lineage: Bacteria
Description: partial 16S ribosomal RNA
Rfam family: Bacterial small subunit ribosomal RNA
Source: RNAcentral